AUGAAAAUAGCAAAUAUUUAGAGAUGCAAAUUAGUUUUUUCAUGUAUUCUUAAUUGAAUUUUUUCUUGUAAUUACAAACUUUUUCUAUUUUUUAGUUUUUUUUUUGUGUUUUCUUGUUUUCCUUAUAUUUUUUUACCAAAUUAAUAUUUUCUAAUCGUUUCUUUAUUUUUAUAGUAUUUUUUGGUUCUUUAUUUUAAAAUAAGGGGUAAAAUUCUGAAAAACAUAAAAUAGAGGGGGUAAAAUUCCGAGUUUUAAAAUAAGGGGGGCAAAAUUCCGAUUCAAUCAAAAUAGAGGGGGUAAAAUUCCGAGUUUUAAAAUAGGGGGGGUAAAAUUGCAUUUAAGCCUCUAGAAAUUGAUUAUCAUUGGAGUUCAAUGACAAACGACUCAAAGAUGGCCGACUGUACUCGACAUCAAAACCAGAAGUAUUUCCAAAAUCAAACUCGAUAGCCGGAGCAAAUUGGUUGAAUUGGGCUAGUAGAUUUGUUGGUGUUUGUGGGCGGUUGUAGCGUGGGUUGUUGUAUAUUGUGUUGUUAUAUUGUGGGUUGUUGUAGGCGGGGUAAUUGGUUUUGGAUGGGCCAAAUUUGUUUGGGUCAUGGUAACAAUAGUUUUGCAUUGAAUUUUCAAUUUAAGUUGACUCAUCAUGGGGUACAUAAGCAUUUCUCGGGGUAGUAUAUGGUGGUGGUUGGAUAAUAUUGUGUUGUGGGGUAUCGAGAAAUUCAUACAUUAUAGAACCAUGUGUGUUUUGUGUUGCGUUGGUUGUCGUUUGGUUGGUAGGUGGUUGUGAGUAAGGAUCUGGUAUUGUUGAAAGAAAUUCUUGUGAUCAGGAGUCAUGCGGCUCUGGAUUCGGUUGGUUGUUGUAAUUUUCACAUUAUGGCUAUGGUUCUAGCUCCGACUCCGAAUUUGAAUGUGGAGUAUGCGAUC
Molecule: long non-coding RNA, 921 nt
Filed under: Medicago truncatula (barrel medic)
Lineage: Eukaryota; Viridiplantae; Streptophyta; Magnoliopsida; Fabales; Fabaceae
Description: long non-coding RNA (MTRU_LNC008089)
Source: RNAcentral